This 468-nucleotide ribosomal RNA is filed under the name uncultured bacterium. RNAcentral describes it as "partial 16S ribosomal RNA". It matches the Rfam family "Bacterial small subunit ribosomal RNA", at positions 28 to 507 of the family's 1533-position model. The record is from RNAcentral.
GACGAACGCUGGCGGCGUGCUUAACACAUGCAAGUCGAACGGAAAGGCCCUGCUUUUGUGGGGUGCUCGAGUGGCGAACGGGUGAGUAACACGUGAGUAACCUGCCCUUGACUUUGGGAUAACUUCAGGAAACUGGGGCUAAUACCGGAUAGGUGCUCCGGCUGCAUGGUGGGGGUUGGAAAGUUUCGGCGGGUGGGGAUGGACUCGCGGCUUAUCAGCUUGUUGGUGGGGUAGCGGCUUACCAAGGCUUUGACGGGUAGCCGGCCUGAGAGGGUGACCGGCCACAUUGGGACUGAGAUACGGCCCAGACUCCUACGGGAGGCAGCAGUGGGGAAUAUUGCACAAUGGGCGGAAGCCUGAUGCAGCAGCGCCGCGUGCGGGAUGACGGCCUUCGGGUUGUAAACCGCUUUCGCCUGUGACGAAGCGUGAGUGACGGUAAUGGGUAAAGAAGCACCGGCUAACUACGUG